GUAGGUGAACCUGCGGAGGGAUCAUUACUGAAUGGCCUCUCGGCCUUCAACCCUCAAACCCGUGGAAUCGAGACGUGCUUCGGCGCCUCUGGCGUCGGAUCUAUGCUGUUUAGCUUGUGUCUGAUGAAAACAAAAAUUUAAAACUUUCAACAAAGGAUCUCUUGGCUCUC
Molecule: unclassified non-coding RNA, 170 nt
Filed under: rhizosphere metagenome
Description: partial ribosomal RNA internal transcribed spacer region
Source: RNAcentral